ACGGGGUGCAGCAGGCGCGAAACCUUUGCAAUGUGUGAAAGCACGACAAGGUUAAUCCGAGUGUCUCCUGCUAAAGGAGUCUUUUGUCAGUUGUAGAAUCACUGAUGAAUAAGGGGUGGGCAAGUUCUGGUGUCAGCCGCCGCGGUAAAACCAGCACCUCGAGUGGUCAGGAGGUUUAUUGGGCCUAAAGCAUCCGUAGCCGGUUGCAUAAGUUUUCGGUUAAAUCUAUGCGCUCAACGUAUAGGCCGCCGAAAAUACUGUGCAGCUAGGGAGUGGGAGAGGUACACGGUACUCAAUAGGAAGGGGUAAAAUCCUUUGAUCUAUUGAUGACCACCUGUGGCGAAGGCGGUGUACCAGAACACGUUCGACGGUGAGGGAUGAAAGCUGGGGGAGCAAACCGGAUUAGAUACCCGGGUAGUCCCAGCUGUAAACGAUGCAGACUCGGUGAUGCAUUGGCUUGUGGCCAAUGCAGUGCCGCAGGGAAGCCGUUAAGUCUGCCGCCUGGGAAGUACGUACGCAAGUAUGAAACUUAAAGGAAUUGGCGGGGGAGCAC
Molecule: ribosomal RNA, 553 nt
Filed under: uncultured Nitrososphaerota archaeon
Lineage: Archaea; Thermoproteati; Nitrososphaerota
Description: bacterial SSU rRNA
Rfam family: Archaeal small subunit ribosomal RNA
Source: RNAcentral